Molecule: ribosomal RNA, 301 nt
Filed under: uncultured bacterium
Lineage: Bacteria
Description: partial 16S ribosomal RNA
Rfam family: Bacterial small subunit ribosomal RNA
Source: RNAcentral
CAGCCGCCGCGGUAAAACGUAGGUGGCAAGCGUUGUCCGGAAUUAUUGGGCGUAAAGCGCGCGCAGGCGGAUCAGUUAGUCUGUCUUAAAAGUUCGGGGCUUAACCCCGUGAGGGGAUGGAAACUGCUGAUCUAGAGUAUCGGAGAGGAAAGUGGAAUUCCUAGUGUAGCGGUGAAAUGCGUAGAUAUUAGGAAGAACACCAGUGGCGAAGGCGACUUUCUGGACGAAAACUGACGCUGAGGCGCGAAAGCCAGGGGAGCGAACGGGAUUAGAUACCCCUGUAGUCCCUGUCUCUUAUACA